GCCGUAUUUACACUACACGUGGACGAAGGGCGUGCCGGUGAGGUACUCGGUGGCCGCGAGCGCGACGAGCCCCAGCAUAGCCAGGCGUCCGUUCCAGAGUUCGGCGUCGGCGGUCAUGAAGCCGCCGCUCCUCCCCUCGACGCUCUCCCCCUGGAGCAGGGGCGCCAGCGACGCCGCGGACAGCACGACGGCGGUGUACGCAAACCACGUGAGCCCGGCGCCGUUGCCGACCUGCGCGAGGAGGCCGUCCCCGCGGGCCGCCUCGACGGCGAGCGCCGACACGAAGCCCACCAUCGCCAGCCGCCCGUUGAUCCGCUCCGGCGCCGGCCCGCUGAACGCAAGCGUGUCCCAGAUGCUCGCCGGCUUCGCCUCCGCGGGCUUGGGCGUAGCGGCUGCGCUGCUUGUCUCGGCAUCCUCGUUCUGGGCGGCCCUGACGACGAGCGGCGCGCGCCGGCGUGGCGCGAGGCUGGCCACCGGGAGCCGGGCAGGGAAACGGCCGGCGCGCUCGCCGGCGGCGGCGAAGGCGAGGGAGCUCGCGGCAGAGGCCAUCACAGUGGUUGCCAUGGGAAAUGAUGCACGGGCCAGUGAACUAGGAUGCCGAUCGCUGGGAGAAGUGUCUAGAGGUAGCUGGGGACUGUGGGCAGGGAUCGAUCGCUUGCUUCUGUUGCUGUUGUGCUUGGAUAUGUGAACGACAUGGCGGCUUUAUAUAUAGGCGCCGGCGAGGUGGCGAGGCUGCCCGUGAAGAGAUUGACGGUGGUGGCGGUGGCAAAGGCCACGUCGGCGGGAGAUUCACCGCCGUAGACCGAGCUGACGAUAGAGUUGCUGGUGAGAGCACGAGGGGCCGUGUACAUUCGCGCGACGUGGAGUCGUGGAGGGAGGCAGGUUCACAGCGAGCCGGGCGGCCACGUCGCCGUCGACGUGGACGGACAGGCCGCCGCGCAGGGUUGGGGAUGGUGAGGUGGUCCGCUCUGCCGCCGAAAAGUGGCAUAAGAUUCCAGGACAACGCACGGAGGGAGCGCGCGAGACGUGUGAGUUGCGAGGGUCAGUGGCGGCGAGUGGCGACAUAGGAAAAGGACGACAAAGGGGAGGUGCAGUGUCUGUCGUGUGUGGCUAAUGCGAUUUCAGUCGGUGGCGUAGCCAGGAUUUUGGCGUAGGGGAGUCAUGUAAACAACAUAUAUGAUGAGAGGCUAACUUCAAUACUUAAUGCGUUACUUAUUUUUUAUCUUGUGCACAAAAUGGCUAAUACCAGUUUCACCAGUCACAAGUAGAUCAACAACCAAUAAUCAUUCAAUCAAUCAUUAGUUUCGCUAAUUGGAAAGGUUUAUAGACAAANNNNNNNNNNNNNNNNNNNNNNNNNNNNNNNNNNNNNNNNNNNNNNNNNNNNNNNNNNNNNNNNNNNNNNNNNNNNNNNNNNNNNNNNNNNNNNNNNNNNUUUUCCCCCCAAAAAAUUUCCCCCCCCCCCAACCCCUUUUUUUUUUUUGUAAAAAAAGGCCCCCCCCCCCCCCCCCCCCCCCCCCCCCCCGACGCCACUGGCUUCAGUCGAGGACUCGAGAUGAAGGUAAUUUGCAUGGUUUAACGAAUGAGAACCGGAUUGAGAGUGAGGUUAUCAAACUUCUAAAACUUGAUCAAGUUACGGCCGUCCGAUGAGUUUUUCGUGUAUUCUGAUUCGAGGAUCUUGUUUCACCAUGGACCAGAAGAACUCGUGUUUAUGUGUUUGACCUCCUUCUAGCAGUUCUGAGAAAUCCCUACUCACCCUAUUCUAUAAUUAAAAAUACUUUCUCCAUUUAAUAUAUAUAUAUAUAUAGUUUAUCGUAAGUCAAGUUAUCUACGAAAAGUACAGUCCUAACAUUGGAAAAGAAUAAAAAAAAAGUGCAAUUCUACGGAGUAGAUCUAACAUCUGCUCGAUUAAGUGGUUAGAUUUAAUUUGCAUGUCAAAAUUAACAACAUGUGGUCAUCAAAUUAAGGUAUAGGUGUCUUUUCAUGCCACCACUAAUUUGUCUAAAAAAAAUUAGAAUGCACUUUUCAUGAGACACGGGGAGUAGUCUAUUGUAAAAAAAACUAACAUUUAUGAUAUAAUACUAAUACUAUUGCAUCCAAUAUAAUAUAUAUUUUCAUAUUGUUCAUAAGUCAAACUUAUCUAACUUUUGACUAUGUGUAUAAAAAUAUAUAACAUCUACAGUAUUAAAUAAAUGCAUUGCUAAAAGAUAUUCCAUAUGCUAUAUUCGAUUAAACUAAUUUAAUGCUAUAGAUGAUGUAUUUUCUAUAAACUAUUCUCAUAGUGUAUUGAUUGAAGCAAAUUUAAUGCUGUAGAUAUACAUAUAUUUUUCUAACUAAACUACCAUCGCAAUCCUCCAACUAGGAUGAUUCUUUACUAUUUAAUUGCAGUGGCACAACCUAAUUUUAGGUGAUGUGGUGCUCUAUUAAAUGAGCGAGGGAAUGAAGGUUGGAAAAACGUAUCUUACGAGAAAUGGUUCCAGUGAGAAAACUAAUACACGAGAUACUAUCAAUUUUUCUAUUGGUACAAGAUUCAAACAAGUGCAGUCAAAAGAAUAUGAUCUGUUAUAUAGGUAAGAUGUAUGUUGUAAAUUAUAUCGUUAAAGAUGCAUGUUGUAAAUUAUAUGGUAAGGCAACUACGCACGAAGAGUGAUCCCAGGUUCUUAUCAUAUAUCAUAUCUUAGCAUAUUUCGCAUGAAAAGCCACCUGACUCGUGGUUUACGGUGUGUCUUGUGUAGAUACCAACUAAACUGUAUUGACAUCAUCACUAUUUGCAAAUUUGUGCGAAAAGUGUACGUUACUAUAAUUUGUAUUGACAUCACUCUUAAGCCCUCGUAGAGUUAGGGUGUUUAAGAAAAAUUAAAAGUUUGCAUGAAAAUUAUGUGGUGGUAGAGCCGUUAAUAAGCUACUUCCUCCAUCCUAAAUUUAGGUCGUUUUAGUAUUUUUAGAUCCAUAGCUUUUGCUAUGUAUCUAGACAUAAUAUAUAUGAAGGUGCAUAGCAAAAAUUAUAAACUUAGAAAUGCUAAAAUAACCUAUAAUUUGGAACGGAGGGAGUACACCUUAGAAUACGAAGGCAACCUCAGUGUGGCGAAGAAAGUUCAUUCAAAUUUAUAUAACCGUGUAACGGAAGUUUUUUCUUUUGAAAUAACAGUUAAAUUUUGUCAAACGAAUCCUGCAAUAUAUUUUCUUUUUCAGGGGAUGUUACAAUGUUUCCACCACUGUACUUAACAGCUACACGUACAUACAUUUCGUAUAUACUAGCACCUCUACAACUACACCCGUAUAGUAUACGCCGUAUUUACACUACACGUGGACGAAGGGCGUGCCGGUGAGGUACUCGGUGGCCGCGAGCGCGACGAGCCCGAGCAUGGCGAGGCGCCCGUUCCAGAGCUCGGCGUCGGCGGUCAUGAAGCCGCCGCUCCUGCCCUCGACGCUCUCCCCCUGGAGCAGCGGCGCCAGCGACGCUGCGGACAGCACGAUGGCGGUGUAGGCGAACCACGUGAGGCCGGCGCUGUUGCCGGCCUGCGCGAGGAGGCCGUCCCCGCGGGCCGCCUCGACGGCGAGCGCCGACACGAAGCCCACCAUCGCCAGCCGCCCAUUGAUCCGCUCCGGCGCCGGCCCGCUGAACGCCAGCGCGUCCCAGAGCCCCGGGCUCCUCGCCGCCGGCUUGGGCGUGGCCGCUGCGCUGCUUGUGUCGGCAUCCUCUUUCUUGGCGGCCCUGACGAUGAGCGGCACGCGCCGGCGCGGCGCUAAGCUGGCCGCCGGGAGCCGGGCAGGGAAGCCGCCGGCGGCGGCGAAGGCGAGGGAACUCGUGGCGGAGGCCAUCACCGUGGUUGCCAUGGGAAAUGAUG
RNAcentral lists this long non-coding RNA (3845 nucleotides) under Setaria italica (foxtail millet). RNAcentral describes it as "long non-coding RNA (SITA_LNC000923)". The record is from RNAcentral. Lineage: Eukaryota; Viridiplantae; Streptophyta; Magnoliopsida; Poales; Poaceae.